RNAcentral lists this ribosomal RNA (311 nucleotides) under uncultured fungus. RNAcentral's name for it is "SSU rRNA". It matches the Rfam family "Eukaryotic small subunit ribosomal RNA", at positions 39 to 352 of the family's 1831-position model. Lineage: Eukaryota; Fungi. The record is from RNAcentral.
AAAGAUUAAGCCAUGCAUGUCUAAGUAUAAGCACUCUUUUACUGUGAAACUGCGAAUGGCUCAUUAAAUCAGUUAUCGUUUAUUUGAUAGUACCCUACUACAUGGAUACCUGUGGUAAUUCUAGAGCUAAUACAUGCGCAAAACCCCGACUUCGGAAGGGGUGUAUUUAUUAGAUAAAAAACCAAUGCCCUUCGGGGCUUCUUGGUGAUUCAUGAUAACUUUACGGAUCGCAUGGCCUUGCGCCGGCGACGGUUCAUUCAAAUUUCUUCCCUAUCAACUUUCGAUGUUUGGGUAUUGGCCAGACAUGGUUG